This 450-nucleotide ribosomal RNA is filed under the name uncultured bacterium. RNAcentral describes it as "bacterial SSU rRNA". It matches the Rfam family "Bacterial small subunit ribosomal RNA", at positions 29 to 524 of the family's 1533-position model. The record is from RNAcentral.
AGCGAACGCUGGCGGCAGGCCUAACACAUGCAAGUCGAACGGACUCUUCGGAGUUAGUGGCGGACGGGUGAGUAACACGUGGGAACGUGCCUUUAGGUUCGGAAUAAGCCCGGGAAACUGGGUCUAAUACCGAAUGUGCCCUUCAGGGGAAAGAUUUAUCGCCUUUAGAGCGGCCCGCGUCUGAUUAGCUAGUUGGUGGUGUAAUGGACCACCAAGGCUACGAUCAGUAGCUGGUCUGAGAGGAUGACCAGCCACAUUGGGACUGAGACACGGCCCAAACUCCUACGGGAGGCAGCAGUGGGGAAUCUUGCGCAAUGGGCGAAAGCCUGACGCAGCCAUGCCGCGUGGAUGAUGAAGGUCUUAGGAUUGUAAAAUCCUUUCACCGGUGAAGAUAAUGACUGUAGCCGGAGAAGAAGCCCCGGCUAACUUCGUGCCAGCAGCCGCUGUAAU